UUUUUUUUUUUUUUUUUUUUUUAAUUCAGAACGCAAUGACACAAUUCUUUACCAUGGCAUUAAUAGCUAAUGUCAUCAGUGGGCUGGGUUCGUGUGUGCGUGCGUAUGAAAUACUCUGUUGCACAAGGGAUUGCCUUGAUUUCUAAUAUGCUGUUUCUGUGUUGUUGGUGAAGGCUGCUUAGCUCUUUUCCGUUCUCAGCCAUGCAAUUUUGUAUAAUUGUAAACACUGCCUAAACCUCUGUUACUAUGACAUGAAAUCACAAGCUUGAAGACAAGAUGCAUUUAUACUGGCAUGGUAACAUUAUUAUUGAAAGCAAGAGAAGGUCUAAUGCUAUUCCUCUUAUAGUCAAGGAAAUAACUCCUUCCCUUUUUCAUCCUACUUCAUACUCUGAACUAGCAUUAUUCAUUUCUUUUUUCUCUCCCCCAAAUUCUGCAUAAUUCUGUAAGAACGUUUUGCCAUUUUGAGAGAAAUACGUACGGACAACAUUGUGAAGGCUCCCUUCUCUUUUUGAGGGAUUAUUUUUCUCUACUCUCUGCUCAAUCGAUUGCUUAAAAAGUGAAUUCUCUUUUCCUGGUUCCUCAUCUCUCAGGUCAUAUGUUUCUGUGUAGAACUGAAUGAGGAGAGAUAAGAAGGGCUUCUCUUCUCAGAGUCCUCUUUGUGGCUCAGUGGGUUAAGAAUCCAACCCAUGUCUGUGAAGAUGCAAGUUUGAUCCCUGGUCUCAUUCAGUAGGUUAAGGAUCCGACAUUGCUGCAAGCUGUGGUGUAGGUCGCAGAUGCAGCUCGAAUCCAAUGUUGCUGUGUCUGUGGCAUAGACCUCAGAUGCAGCUCUGAUUCUACUCCUAUCCUGGAAACUUCCAUAUGCUGCAGGUGUGGCCUUAAAAAGAAAAACAGAAAAAAAAAGAAGAAGAAGCAGGGCUUCUCAUGCUCAAGCCAUGUUCUGUUGUCACUAGUCAGCCCUGUGACAUGAGGUUCUUGUGGUUCUUGGGGAGGGACACUGCCUAGAGCCUCACCAGCCAGUGUGGCUCAUUCCACAUCCAACAGGGGAAAGAAAGAACCUCUGUGUGUCACUGACUUUGUGACUCUGUAACCUGAGUCUGCUCCUCAGAGGUGGCAGACACAGAGAGGCCUGGGUCUUUGGUGUUUAGAGUACAGAAUUGGGACAUGAGGUUUGGGGUCUUGGGGCAGGCACUUUGAAAGACACACAAGCCUCCACACCAUCCUAUGUGAUAGAUAUAAUUAUCUAUAUAUCUAUGUGGCAUCUAUGUAUAUACACACUACCUGUAGUAGGAGAGGCCAGAGAGUCAGAAAAAAGAAAAAAGAAAAUGAAAAAAUUGCCCCAAACUGCACAAGUGUUAAAUGGCAGAUUCAGGAUUCAAUCAAUCUGAGCCAGGUCUCUUGCUCUUUUCUCCUUCUCUGUGGCAUUCCUGGGCCUCACACUGCCUAGAACACACUGGCCUCUUUGAGUAUUGCCAGAGAGCACACUUUGCUAUCUGAGUCAAGUUAACAGGUUUUGGAGCAAAUAUAAUGUGUUCAUGUCAUUUAAUUAGUUGCUGCAAAGGAGACAGAAAUAUAUGAUAUUGUGUUUGCCCUCAAGGAGCAUAGAAUUUAAGAGAGAAGUUAGGAGUUCCCAUUGUGGCACAGCAGGUUAAGAACCCUACUAGUAUCAGUGAGGAUGCAGGUUGGAUCCUUGGCCUUCCUCAGUGGGUUAAGGAUCCUGUAUUGCCAUGAGCUUUGGUGUCAAUCACAGAUGUGGCUCUGAUCUCACGUUGCUGUGGCUGUGCUGUAGGCUGGCAGCUGCAGCUCCUACUAGCCUGGGAACUUCCAUAUGCUGUGGGUAUGACCCUAGAAAGGAAAAAAAAAAAAAGAGUAAGAGAAAGAGAAUUUGGAAAUUAAUGCAAAAAUAUCAGGUAGCACAUUUUAAGUUGUCACACAGGGAACUGUGAGUCACUGAUUUUGGGAGGAGCAAGGAAGUCUUCUCUUGGAGGAGGUGGAAUUCUGAGCCAUGACAUGCAGUGAGGAAACUUCUCUGUAUGCUCUAGGAAUGGUGAUUGGUUUAUUUUGGCUGUGAUAAUAGGGCAUGCAAGAGACAAGACUGAAGAUUGUUAGUAAAUGUUAACAUUACCCUAAGAACCUAGUAUUUUAUUGUAGGCAAAGAGGAACGCUGGGCAAGUUUUAAACUGGGAAAGAAAUGCACUGAGUAUGAUGCUUUUGGAAAAUAAUAUGGACCAUUCUAGGAGAGGAAAUAUAAGAAAGUCUGUUACUGAACCUGCCACUGUUUGUGGGUGAGCAGUCCUUUGCUCUCCCAGUACAUUUCCUGAGGGCAUAUGUGAAGCAACUCUGUCUCUAAGCAGCAUGAAGGAGGAGAAAGGGCAAGGAGGAGAGCUGACAGCUUCAGGUUGUGCCUGCAGCAUACUGACUAGCUCCUAUGCUGUCUCUGUCUUUAGUGGCUGCAUUGAAAUUGCAAGGUAGGAAGUGGGAGGUGUAUGAAGGAGGGGGGAAAGCAAGACGUUGAUGGGUAGUAGCCACGAGCAAUGGGAGGGAAUGAGAGUUACUGUUGCAGCAGACUCCUCCGUCUACAGUAAGGGCAGUGACCUGGACCUAUGACCGUGGGAAUACCAUCACCAUUGCUAGGGUUGUUCCAGCUGAAAUCAAGGUACAUGACAAGUGCCCUAAUCUGGGGUGGCCCAUAAAACAGAUAUGGGACAGCACUGACAUUUAUAUAAUAUGGCCAGAAAAGACAUCCUUGAGAGGUGACUUUGAAUAAAGGAAGUGAGGGAGGCAUAAAGGCAGAUAUCUGGAAUAAGAGGCUUUCAGGCAGGUGGAAGAGCAAACACAGAGUCCUUGAGAUGACACGGUACCAUCUCAAGUAUGUCUGAAGAACACCAAGAAACCCUUCACAGUAGAGUUAAGGAGUGAGAGGCAAGAGUAGGAAAAUCAGUGAGAGAGGUGAUGGGGAGUCAGAUAGAACCUAAAGGUGAUAAGAAUUGUAUUGUUUACUCUAGUGAUACUUGAAGACAUUUGAGGGUUUAGAGUAAAAUGGAGGCCCUGACCUGCUUUAGCUUUGGUAAAAGUGCUCUCGAUACUGCUGAAAAUAGACUCUAGAUAGAAAAGGGUAGAAGAAGUGAGAUUAAGUAGGAAACUGCUACGGUAAACCAGGCUAGAAAUCAUGGUGGCUUGGACUAUGUGGGUAGGGAGAUAUGAGAAAUGGUCAAACUAUGGGAUAUGCUGAGGGUAGAACAGACAGGAGUUUUGGACAUAAUGGACAGGGAGUGUAAAGGAAAAAAAAUCCUGACAAAUAUAGUUACCUGGUUUUGUCUCAGGUAGAAGAAAGAAGCUGCUGUUAACUAAUAUGGGGAAGUGUGCAGGAGACAUUGAUUUUGGAAAAAGAUUAAAAGCUUGGUUUUCAGCAUGUUUAAUUUGAAAAGUAUACAAAAUAUGCUAGGAAAGGUAUCAAGCAGGUAAUUGGAGAUGUGUAUUUCAGUUUCAGGGAAGAUGUUGGAGCUGGAGAUAUAAGGUUAGAAACAUUAGUCCAAGGUAAGAGAGUGUUACAAAAAUUAAUUCACGAUAAAUUCUGUCAGAUUCUGCUGAUACGUCAUGAUAAAUAAGGACCCAGAAAUGACCGUUAAUUUCAGCAAAAUAGUGAUGAUGGACCUCAAGAAGGACAGUAGCUCUGGAGUAGUGGAGGAAAGAACAUGAUGUGAAUGGUUCAAGAAAGAAUGGGAGGAAGGAAAUUGGUGACACGAGCAGGGAAUGAGCAAGGGAGAUGGAGGUGUAUGCAGAGAAGCACCUAUGAUAAUCAAAUACGGGACCAAAGCUGCAUAAGGAAAGAAGAGAGGAGGAUAUCAUGGGUGAGCAAAAGAAGAAAGGGGUUGAAUUACCAGAUGAUAGGUCCAGGUAUAUUUGAAGAAUUGUUAGAUGUCUUCAUCAGCCUGAGCUUCCAUAAAAACAAAACAAAACAAAACACAGACCAGGUGGCUUAAACAGUAGACAUUUGUUUCUCAUAGUUCUGUAGACUGGGAACUACCAGAUCAAGAGGUCUGGAAAUUCUGUUUCUGGUGAGAUCUCUCUUCCUGGGUUGCAAACAGCCUGCCUUCUUGCUGUGUCCUCACAUGGUGGAGAGAGACUUCUGGACUCUCCUCUUCUUCUAAGGGCACGAAUCCCUUCAUGACCUUCUCUAAACCUAAUUACUUUUCAAAGGCCUCAACCACAAAUACUGUUACCAAACCAAAUUUGGGUCUGCCUGCCCAUGUGUGCAGCAAAGCCAAUCUAUUGACAUUGGGUUGUGGUGAAGGAAAGUACAGUACUUAUUGCAGGAUGCCAAGCAAGAAGUCUGGACAGCUAGUGUUUAAAGGAUUGAACUCUCUGAUGGAUUUUAAAGACAGGGUGAGCAAGAGGGUUGUAGGGUAUGUGAUCACCUCAUGAACACUCUUCUCAUGGGUUAGUGGUGAGGUAAUUGGGCAUCAACAUCAUUAACCUUAUGGUUCUAUCUGACCUGGGGCCUAUGUGCUUGUGGGCAAUAUACAGUUAGCUUCUUCCAUCUGGCAGGGGUUUCAGUAUCUGAAAAACAGCUGAAGUGAAAUGGCUCAGAAGAUUAUCUUCAGCCCCUGAGGAGGAGCUAAAAGUCCUUGACUUUGUUUGAUGGCUAAAUUGUUAUUAUUUUGUCUUGCUUAUCUGUUUUCUGUUUCUGAAUUUUCUUACUUCCCUUAUUAAAUUUAUUCUUUGGAACUUGGGGAAGGCCUAGGAGGCUAAAGUUUUUCCAUAAACAAGAGGCAGGCAGAGGACAUGGUGGGGUCAUUCCCA
Molecule: long non-coding RNA, 4800 nt
Filed under: Sus scrofa (pig)
Lineage: Eukaryota; Metazoa; Chordata; Mammalia; Artiodactyla; Suidae
Description: lncRNA (ENSSSCG00050034199.1)
Source: RNAcentral